This 103-nucleotide small nuclear RNA is filed under the name Aotus nancymaae (Ma's night monkey). Lineage: Eukaryota; Metazoa; Chordata; Mammalia; Primates; Aotidae. The record is from RNAcentral.
GUGCUCGCCUCGGCAGCACAUAUCUAAAAUCGGAACGAUACAGAGAUUAGCAUGGCCCCUGCGCAAGGAUGACCCACAAAUUCGUGAAGCGUUCCAUAUUAAA